UACUAAUCAACUAGCCCUCCCCUAAAAAACAACCACCACUAUUCAUAACCCCUAAUACCCUAAUAUAAGUAGAACAAAUCAUUUUUCCCCCUUAGUAUGGGCGACAGAAAAG
Molecule: ribosomal RNA, 112 nt
Filed under: Sacura margaritacea (cherry anthias)
Lineage: Eukaryota; Metazoa; Chordata; Actinopteri; Perciformes; Anthiadidae
Description: partial 16S ribosomal RNA
Source: RNAcentral